Non-coding RNA from Pangasianodon gigas (Mekong giant catfish), 72 nucleotides. Lineage: Eukaryota; Metazoa; Chordata; Actinopteri; Siluriformes; Pangasiidae. The record is from the annotation of a GenBank genome assembly.
ACCUUGGAGGACUAGUGGUUAGGCCUUGGCGCAAUCAGCACUGUGGCCUAGGUUUGAUUCCUGGCCAGGGAA